RNAcentral lists this long non-coding RNA (8798 nucleotides) under Homo sapiens (human). RNAcentral describes it as "HSALNT0057897". The record is from RNAcentral. Lineage: Eukaryota; Metazoa; Chordata; Mammalia; Primates; Hominidae.
AAACACUCCUACCCUCCCUUAGAGCUCACUUUGGUAAUAUUAAUGUUUAACCGGUUAGCAAAAUUAACACCAUUAUUUCAAUAGCUACUCUGUUGUGCAUAGUAAAUGCUGCAAGAUGAACAUCACAUUUGGUGAAGCUGGUUUGAGAAACUUUUGGGGGAAAUUGUGCCUGGCCCUCAACAGGACCCUAAGCUCAGAGAAAUGAACAGAGGCCCCUGAAACUGCUGUGUCUGCGACCAUGCGUGUGCAGCUGGAUCCCGUGGUAGCCAGCGAGACUCCACUUCCAGCAGAUGAGGUGGACAAUGAAGACAAUGAGGAUCAGGUCUGUCAGGGCGCUGCCCAUGGAAACGGGGAUCAGCAUGUUUUUCCUCCUCCAGGAGACAUUCCUCCGCGGAUCAGACCAUGCUCCUUCCACAUUGAAAGCCUGUGCUCACACUUUGAAUAUGUUGACUGAAAGACCUUCAUGAGCCGGACACGCUCCUUGGUGUUACACUUGCAGGAGUUGCCGAUGGAGGCCUGCAGUACUCUCGGAGUUGUUGGCAGCUUUAAAGAGCACUGAUGAGAAGAUGGAGAAGGACAGGAAAAAGACAGAUUCAACCUGUGGCAGAGAGACACCACAUAGAUUUUAGUUUCUCUAUUCCUGGAAUUUCACUUUGCCCCAGCUCCCCACGAAGACCAGACAAAGACUUACUGUCUCUGGAAAAGGAGUAGAAGCAAAAAGGCAAUGCUACUGGAGGAGGCCCAGAAAAGCGCUUCCUGCAUGUGCUCCUGCUUGAGUCCUAAAUUGCACAAGGCAGAUUUUUAUUACCUUGGACUUUUGGGUCUGUGUAGGGUGGGGAUGAGUGGUAGGCAGGAAAGCUAAUAAGGCUUUGAAAGUAAUCCCAGGUGCAUAAGGCCCGUCUGAGACCCGAGGCUGAAGGAGAACAGGGAAAGCUCCCCUCUACCUUAAUCUUUACAUCGCACCUUAAAUAUUUGUAAAACACAUAUCCAACUAAGGACUUGAAGCCAGAUUAUCUAAAGAACUAUUACAAAAAUAAUAAAAAUAACAAAAUAUUAAAAACUCAAUACAAGGUACCAAGAUUUGAUUGGCUGCUCCCUCACAAAUGAUGCAUAAACAGAUACAAGCACAUGAAAACAUACUUCAUAUCUUGCAUUAAGAAAACCCAAGUGAAAUCAAUGGGAUAGUGCUACAGGCUUACUUGAAUGGCUAAAAUUAAAAAAAAAAAAAAGAUUACCAAUGUGAAUACUGAGGAGGAGGUAAAGCAACUGGAACUUUUUAGACACCAUCGGUGUAAAUGCAAGUAGUACAACUACUUAGGAAGACACCACAGUUUCUUGAAAAAUUUAAUACAUAGCUCUCAAUAUAACCCAGGCAUUUUACUUCUAAGUAUUUACCCAAGAAAAAUGAAAACAUACCUUUACACAAAGGCCUCUAUUUGUAUCAACUUUCUCAUAAUCUAUUAUAAACAAUUUCCAGACUAGAAAUAAAUGAACAAAUUGCAAUUAUCUAUUUAAUGGAAUAGUGUUAACUCAUUAAUAAAAUUAAUAUGCAACAACAACGAUCUUAUAACUGAAAGAAGACAGAGAAAAGGCUACAUAGUAGAUGCUUCAUUUAUAUAACAUUCUGAAAGUGGCAAAGAGCAAGGGAAAUGAAUCAAAUCAGGAGUUGCCAGUGGCUAGAGAUUAGGGGACACUAUGGACUAUCCAGGGCACCAGGGACCACUUUAAAGUUCAGGAAACAUUUGACAUCUUCAAAUGGGUAGUCACAUAGCUACAUAUUUGAGAAAUUUAUUGAAUUAUAUACUUAAAAAUUAUGAACUUAAUUGCAUUUAAAUUGUACCUCAAUAAAACUGACUCUUAAAAAACUGUAUUGAGGAGGAUCUUGAUAUAAAUUUGUUUGAUGUGAUUAUAUAGAUGGGAAACAUUGGCAUAUUCUAUUAAUAUCAGUGUAUUUCAAUAUUCUAUUAAAAAUUCUGAUUCUGACACUUCAAAAAUAUGUUGAAUUAAAGAAUAACGAAAAUCCAAAUUUUAUGUCACAAGAUGCAGAUAUAGCAAUGAGUAGAACAAAGGAAUAGCCUUAAAAUGCAUAUGCUAGAGAAGAAAUGAGCUAAUUGUCUGUCUCAAGAUAUUAGAAAAAAAAUAGCAAAGUAAUCUCAAGAGAUUAGAAGCAAAGAAAUAAUAAUCACACAAGAAAUGAUGUAGAAAACACUCAUAAUAGAGAGAAUCAAUAAACUUAAAAUUUGGUUCUUGAACAGACUUACCAAAUUCGAAAUGGCUGUUAAAAUGGAUUAGAAAAGAAAGAAAGAGAACACUAGUCAAAAAUAACUUAAUCUAGUCAACACUGCAGACACUAUAUACAUUGAAAAUAUAAGUAGUUGUGAAUAACUUUUUAAUGGAUCUAUUCUCCAGUACAAUAAAAUUUAUCAAUAUUAAGUGUUUUGCUAAUUUUAUACAACCAUAUUAGCACUAAUGCAAUCAAUAAAUAGGAAUCAAUAAAUAGAAAACACUUCAGCCUAAAAGAUUUCCUCAAGCUCCUUUACAUAGAUCCUCUCCUCCACACCCUGCCUUAACUAUCCACUAAUCUGCUUUCUGUCAGUUUUGCAGUUCUAAAAUUUCUAUAAAUGGAAUCAUACAGAAAUUUCAUUUUAUUUGGUUUAUUUCAAUUAAUGCAAUUUUUAUAAUGUAAUGUUAAUCUAUGUUUUCUGUACAUUAAUAUUUAAUUUCUCUUUUAGCUGAAUAAUAUUUUAUGCCAUGGAUAAAUUCAAAUGUAUCUGUUCACCAAUUGGGUUUCUUCCAGUUGAGGGCUGUGACAAAGAAUAUUGUUGUAAACUUUUGUGUAUGUGUGUCUUUGCUGAAUUGUUUUCUGUUGUGUUUGUCCCUAGCACUAGAAUUUUGCUAGAACACAGUAAGGUUUAUUACAUAUCUUUGAAAUUAAUUAUGCUCCUAAAGUGGCAUAGCAUACAGAAAAAAAUGAGAGGAUAUUUUUCUAAAAGACAAAGAGAGCUUGCUGACUGUUCCAAUGACACUUUGCAUUUCCUUAGGUGAGUCACUUAAAACCUCAAUUCAACCUCCACUUGUCAAAUGAGAAAAAUAAUGAGUCCCUGCCUCGGAGGGAUGAUGUGAGGAUUUAUGACAUUAUACUGUGCAUAAAAUUGCUCUGUGCUUCUAGCAAAAAGAAUGCAAUUUAAAUACAACAAAUUAUUUUCAUAUUUUAUAUCAGCUUGCAUCUGUUUUUGUUGUGGUCUGAUUAAAUCAGUUUUAACAAAAGUUAAAAAAAUUCUAGUGCUUUUCUAAUGUUAUAUAAUAAUCCUAAUGACUCUGAAAAAAAGUACAUCCUGAAGCUAAGUCAAUAAUUACACAGUAAAAUUGUUUUACAAUUGAAAUAAUACUAAACAUGUCCAAAAAAUAUUUCCAUAAUUCAUAAACCUCAGCUUCUUACUGUGACCUAGAGGUCUUGUUGUAUAUAGAACAAAAUGACUCCUGCAGGCCACGCUUGCUGUAUAUUUGUAUGCAUACAAAAUAAUCCUUGAGAAGUGCAUUAGUUAGAUGUAUGGCAUAAUUGCAUAUAAUUGAAUUCACAUGCUUCUCUGCAAUAAAGUGGAAAUGUCCAAAAAACAAGUUAUACAUUAAUUUUCUUUUAGUUACAAUGAUAAAUUGGAACUUCAUUUUAGCACUAAAUAAUCUUCUGCAGCCUAAAAGAUGGCCAAUUGGAAGGGAAAGAGAAAGAGAAAAAUAUCAGUUAGAAGUGAUUUGGAUCACAGCAAAUAGUAUGGUUGGAGAAUAUUAAAGUUCGAGCAUCUUAAAAUUAUAAUAGCUGAAAUUUAAUAGAAUAUAGACACAACUUUGGAUAAUUAAAAGUGGAGAUGGUAGAUAUAGCAAACAGUAAUGGUAUUAAAAUAUACAUUGUGGAUUCACAAAAAUACUGAAAUCAUGAGAAUUUCAACAGAUUGCACAUUAACUAUAGUCACACAUCACAUAAUAACAUUGUGGUGAAUGGUGAACCACAUACACUUAUGAAGCUAUUUACUUUGUAGCUGUCAUAAUGUCAUAGAGCAAGACAUCACUCAGGUGUUUGUGGAGAUGGUAUAAAUAAACCUACUAUGCUGUCAGUCAUAUAGAUGUAUGGAACAUACGAUUACGUACAGUACCUAAUACUUGAUAAUAACAAUAAAUGACUAUGUUACCAGUUUAUAUAUUUACUAUAAUACACUUUUUAUCAUUAUUUGGAGUGUACGCCUUCUACUUAUUAAAAAAAAAAAAAGUCAACUGUAAAACAAUCUCAGGCAGGCCCUUCAGAAGACUUUCCAGAAGAAGGCACUGGUAUUAUAAAGGAUGACAGCUCCAUGCAUGUAAUUUCCCCUGAAGACUUUCCAGUGGUAAAACAUGUGGAGGUAGAAGAUAGUGAUAUUGAUGUUCCUGACCCUGUGUAAAUCUAGACUAAUAUGUGUGUUUGUGUCUUCAUUUUAAACAAAAUUUAAAAAGUAAAAAAAAAAAUUAAAUUAAAUUAAAAAUAGAAAAAAGCUUAUAAAGUAAUGAUAUAAAAAAUAUUUUUCUAAAGCUAUACAAAAUGUGUUUUAAGUUAAGCAUUAUUUAAAAAGUCCCAAAGUUAAAAAAAGAAAAAGUUAAUAAAGCAAAAUUUUUAGAGUAAGCUCAGAUUAAUUUAUUACUGAAGAAAGAAAUUUGUAAAUACAUUUAAUGUAGCCUAACUAGGCAGUGUUGAUAAAGUCUGCAGUAGGGUACAGUAAUGUCUUAAGCCUUCAUAUUCACUCACCACUCAUUCACUGGCUCACUCAGAGCAACAUCCAAUCCUGCAAGCUCCAUUCAGUGUAAGUGCCCUACACAGGUGUACCAUUUAUUAUCUUUUACACAGUAUGUUUACUGCCACUUUUCAAUGUUUAGAUACACUAAUAUUAACAUUGUGUUACAAUUGCCUACAGUAUUCAGUAUGGUAACAUGCUGUACAGGUUUGUAGUCUAAGAGAAAUAGGCUAUACCAUUUAGCUUAGAUGUUUAGUAGGCUAUGCCAGCUAGGUUUGUGUAAUUAACACUCUAUGAUGUUGACCCAAUGACAAAAUCCCCUACCAACACAGUUCUCAGAAUGUGUCCCUGUCAUUAAGCAAUGCAUGACUAUAGAAAGCAAAAUUAACAUAGCAAUUAUAUUCACUAAAAUGCAAUUAAAAUAAUGGCUUACACUUAUGUUAAAUCAGUAUGGCUUCAUUUAUAUUAAAGGAAUUCAGCUCAUAAAUUUACUAGAGCAAUGUUUCUUAGUAAAAGUUACACAUUAAAAUCACCUGGGAAGUAUCCCCCCAAAUUACCAAUGUCUAGACACCACCUGGGAUAUUAGAAUAAUUUGAUUCACAGUGGGGCACAGGUAUCAGUAAUUUUUAGCACCCUCUCCCCAUUGAAAUACGUAGGAUGGUAGAAUCACAGAAUACUGGAGAUAGAUUGAACUUUAAAGAAAACACGACUUGACAUUCUCCUGUGAUUUAUGUUUCACGAUUAAGUCCCAUGAUACUUAAAGUGGUGCUUAAAGUUAUGUAGUGUAAAGGUGACUCAGCCAUAAAGAAAAUGGAGCUCAUAUUCAGGAGUCAAUUUACCUGAAAUCAAACCAAUAUUGAGUGGUAAAACUAGAUUAACAGCCAAGAUCCUGGUUUCAAAAUCUUUACACUUAAUCUUCUGGCACUACCUAGUCUCUUAAUAAUACAUCUUAAUUUGGGCACUUAAUUGAUGAAACUAAUAAAAACAUUGCUAGACUAAGAAUUUCUUAGAUCUUUGAAAUGAUUCAUGUUAAAAACAAACUUUUUCAAAACCAAAAGGUGAAUAACAAUAAGUAAGAACCAUUCAUAAAAUAUCUUAGAAUAGUGCAUUUGACAUUAUGAGCAGGUCACUGUAAAGAGACAAAUAAUAAUGAUCAAAGAUAAAAAGAUCUAUCCCGAAAAAUUCAUGAGAGUGUCAAUGUGUUUGAAUGCUAUCAUAAAUCACUGCAUUGCUUCUUAUUCUUGGAAAGUAUCACCUCACAGAACAAGAAGCUGAAAGUCAGGGGGAAAGAAAAAAGAAAGAGAGAGGGAGAGAGGGAGGGAGGAAGGAAGGAAUUAGAUUUCACCCCAAAGUCACCUAAAAAUAUAAAUAUUUUCAUUUUUAUACCAUCUGGCUAUAGAUGGUGCUAUGCCAUAGUUAGAUCUUUUAUCAGGUAAAGACCCUGGUGAGCGUUUUCCCUAAGGGAGUGAGGAUUAAAUAGGAAAAUGUCAGUGCCCUAUUCAGAUAACACCAAUUUGCUGGGAAAUCUGAUAGCAUUUUAAGCACGUGGCAUUGAGAGGAGCUGCUAUGUAUGCUGUUUUAUUAAAAAAAGAAAAAAGACCAAAUCAAUAUUACAGCAAGAUGGGAAGAAGAUUAUAAAAGAAAACCAAGAAGUAUACACGAUAGUGAAAUGAAUACUUGACCAAUAUAUAUUGAGUUUAUCUCAAUUUUUAAAGAAUAAGAAUGCAAGCUAUUAAAGGUGGCAAGAAACCUGUAUAGGGCCAGGCACUAUGGCUCAUGCCUGUAAUCACAGCAAUUUAAGAAGCUGAGGUGGGAGGAUCCCUUGAGGCCAGGAGCUCAAGACCAGCUUGGGUAAUUAAGCGAGACCUCAUUACUUCAAAAAAAUAAAAGUAAUUAGCUGUGUGUGGUGGUGCACACCUGAAGUCUCAGUUACUUGGGAGGCUGAUGCAGGAGGAUAGCUUGAGCCCAGGAGUUCAAGGUUUCAGUGAGCUAUGAUUGCGCUUCUGUGUUCCAGUCUGUGUGACAGAGGAAGACCCUGUCUCAAAACAGAAAAAAAAAAAAAAAAAAAAAAAAAAAAAAACAAGAGGAAAAAAUAAACAAAACCUGACUCUCCCUGCAAUUUGCAAUCUGAGUUUGUCAGCAUCUACUCAGGUCGAAUUCUUAUAAAUUUAGGUCUCUGCUGCUGCAGCUAUUGCCCUGGAUCAAGCAAAAAUAUUCCAGGAGGCUGUGGUAUCUCCUCCUUCCUUUAAUCCUCUGGAUACUCAUCAACCUGCUGAGGUUGCUCCAUGCAGAAGGAUGUCUAAGAGGGUCAGAUUUCAGGUCAAUGUUCUGGCUUCAUCGCUUUAAUGCACAAUAUCCAAAACAGUAAUAUGAGCAGUUGCUAAUGCUUGAGAAGAAGUAACUCACAAGGCAGAUUUGCUUCAUUAAUUAUCUGCUAUUGAGCUGUUGAAGUACAAGAACAUGAGCUGUGGCUCAACCAUUGCUCCCCGCUGUGGAGUAUGUCAUGAUUUUAAGAGUAGAAGUAGGAGGAAGAGCCUGAGUGUGUGGUUAAUAAUGCAUUAAAUAGAGGUGUUGUGUCCUUGCUACCUAUGCUUUCUAUGCCAAAUAGGAUAAGAAAAAUGUAUUGAAACCAAGAAGGGAUAAGAAUAACAAUACAAAAAGGGAAUGGCAAAAGGACAAGGAAUGUAAACUGUUAGUGAAAGCAUACUCUCUAUGAAGAAUCUUUUGAAAUAAUGCAAAAUUCCUCAGGCAGUAAGUCAAAAUAAAUCAAUGUUUCUCAACAGAGGAGUGAUGCUCUCUCAGGGUAUUUUUCAAAGGCUUUUUUGCUGUUGUUGUUACCAGACCUGAAUAGGUGCUAAUGGCAUCCAGUUGUUAGAGACCAAAGUUCUUCUAAGUAUCGAACAAUUCACAACACAGUCCAUAACAACUAGGAAUUAUCUCAUCCAAAAUGCUAAUACUGCUGAGGUUGAGGAAACCUGGUAUAAAGUAAAUUAUUAUAUGACAGGUGGUAAUAAAAUUCUUUUAAAGAAUAAUCACAUUCAAAAGAGUUAUUUCAGAAAAUUUAGCAUGGAAAAGUGCCAUGCAGAAAUGUAUUUUCUACCAAAUGAGCCUCUAUCGUAUUAUACAAUCUGCCUGGGUGUAUAAGUUUCAUACAUUUUUAAUACUGAAAUUUAAAUGCACAAGUUUUAAGGAAAUGUAAAACAAGUCCACUGACCUUAAUUUUUAUCUUCUACUUUGCCAUUUCUAUAAAUUUUAGUCUAUAAACUUAUGCCUGGCCUCAAUUGACAUGAGGGCUACAAAGGCUAUGAACAGUUUCUUUUGAUAUUUAUACUUUGAAAUUAAAUGUAAGUGGUCUCAAAUUUGAUAAAGAAUUUAGCUUUAUCAAAUAAGAACUAUUACCUGGAAAAACCACCAGUUUCUCAGUCUCUUCUAACCACACUUCUUGUAACUAACUCAUAGAAACAAAAAUCUGCAUGUAUUUUGCAUUCUUAUGUCCGUUUUCUUGUGUCAUUUCACUCUUACUUUCUAAGUCCUCCACAAAAAAAAAAAAAAAAAAAGUGUGUGCCUGCCACUUUGCUAACUAUAGCUACUUCUACAUAAUUGCCACCAUUUGGGGUCAUCCUGUACUAUUCUCAAAACUGCUCUGUUGUGGUACCUUUGUCUGGAAUUCUGGAAUUAAAAUCUGCUGUGACUGUAAAUGUCAAAAUGGAAAUAUUUAAGAAAAAAGGAACAAACCAUUCUCAACAAAAAUGGGUCAAGAUAACACUGACACUCUCAAGUGGGUAAUUAAGUUAAUUUUCUGUAUCAUUCAAGCCCAAACUAUAAAUUUAAAUAAAACAUACAAUUAAACAUUAUUUAGCACAUUUUCUGUACAAAUAAUGUAUAAUAUGCUUCGCAGUAUAAUAAGAUAAUCAAUACACAGUCUUUCUCAACUCUAGAGGCAGAAUGCUGGUUUGAAAUCCAGAUUUAUGUUCAAGUCCAAAUUGUUUAACCUCUUCAAGCUUUAGUUUCAACAUUUGUAAAAUGGAAAUAGUCACAGUA